GACGAACGCUGGCGGCGUGCUUAACACAUGCAAGUCGAACGGAAAGGCCCUGCUUUUGUGGGGUGCUCGAGUGGCGAACGGGUGAGUAACACGUGAGUAACCUGCCCUUGACUUUGGGAUAACUUCAGGAGACUGGGGCUAAUACCGGAUAGGAGCUCCUGCUGCAUGGUGGGGGUUGGAAAGUUUCGGCGGUUGGGGAUGGACUCGCGGCUUAUCAGCUUGUUGGUGGGGUAGUGGCUUACCAAGGCUUUGACGGGUAGCCGGCCUGAGAGGGUGACCGGCCACAUUGGGACUGAGAUACGGCCCGGACUCCUACGGGAGGCAGCAGUGGGGAAUAUUGCACAAUGGGCGGAAGCCUGAUGCAGCAACGCCGCGUGCGGGAUGACGGCCUUCGGGUUGUAAACCGCUUUCGCCUGUGACGAAGCGUGAGUGACGGUAAUGGGUAAAGAAGCACCGGCUAACUACGUG
Molecule: ribosomal RNA, 468 nt
Filed under: uncultured bacterium
Lineage: Bacteria
Description: partial 16S ribosomal RNA
Rfam family: Bacterial small subunit ribosomal RNA
Source: RNAcentral